Molecule: non-coding RNA, 458 nt
Organism: Ictidomys tridecemlineatus (thirteen-lined ground squirrel)
Lineage: Eukaryota; Metazoa; Chordata; Mammalia; Rodentia; Sciuridae
Source: RefSeq, a predicted model, not a curated record
AUGGGCAUGCUAGCCUCACAGCCUGAGUCUCCUGUACAAAAGUCCAGUCCAGGCUAUCUACUAGAGGUCCAAUUUGCUGCCCACAGCCCUGAGAGGGGCUUCUAGCACCUUCCCACUAGAAAAACAUAACUCUGCAAAUGUCUGCCAAUAAGGACUCAUUUUCAAUUGACUUACUCACAGUAAACUCUGAUGACUUCCUUGGGACCACCUCCAGUGACCAGAAAGGGCCUGUGUUAUGUUUCUACAACAUCUGUUAUCAUGUAAAAGAGAAGAGAGGCUUCCUGUUUAAACAGAAAAUAACUGAGAAAAGGAUACUAUCAGAUAUCAAUGGGAUCAUGAACCCUGGCCUUAAUGCCAUUGUGGGACCCUCAGUUUCAGGCAAUACUUUGUGAGUAUAAAAGAAGGUGUAAGUAAGCCUUUUUGGCUGCAUUUUAGUAUGCUUUUUAAAAAAUCACAUG